GUGUUUGCACAGUGGCAGUAUCAUAGCCAAUGAGGCCAACCUGCAGUGCGAUUAUUGCUAGUUGAAAACUUUUCCCACUACCUUGCCGUGAUGACUUGAAAUACAGUUGGCACUGACAAUUUUUGAUGGUCUCCACGGAGA
Molecule: small nuclear RNA, 141 nt
Filed under: Crocodylus porosus (Australian saltwater crocodile)
Lineage: Eukaryota; Metazoa; Chordata; Crocodylia; Crocodylidae
Description: U4 spliceosomal RNA (ENSCPRG00005013803.1)
Rfam family: U4 spliceosomal RNA
About the family: U4 small nuclear RNA (U4 snRNA) is a component of the major U2-dependent spliceosome. The structure of U4 snRNA from yeast and human has been reported.
Source: Rfam by way of RNAcentral